UUUUAGAUUGUUGGACGUAGCCAUGCCGGCAGCGGGAAGUUUUGGAUGAGCACGCUCUGGAGUAAACUUUAAGAAGUCAGCCAACACGCCUCGACUGCAUCUUUUACGAUUUGAAAAGACAACACAUUUAUUUGCAAGGCUAUUUUCCAAAAAAGGAUAUUUAAAGAGAAACUACAUCUUGUGAGACCAUCUCGGCCAGCCCCGGAAGCGAGCUCAGCUGUCGAUGAAAUUUGGGAUCAUCCAGCCUGGUUGUAAGGCCGUCCACCAUGCAGGAGAAAGCCCUCCUUGUUCUGUCCACUGGGCUCACAUCGUCACCCGACACUUCGGACUUGGCCACAACAACCAAGCUCCUCGUAUGCUCGGGAGGAGGAGGCGAGGGACGGCUCGAGGGACGCGUUGGUGCUGCGACGGAGAAGCGGCGUCCUCAAGAGACGGAUAUUAGGUACACAAUUUAAUGCCGUCAUAUUCCUGAGCUGUAUCAAAAAUAAAUAUCCAAUACAAACAGUAUUUGCACACUGGGACAAGCAUCAAUCAAUCAUUAUAAAAGGUCAUUUAUAUAGCCCUCAAUCACAGGCGCCUCAAAUUAU
Molecule: long non-coding RNA, 587 nt
Organism: Entelurus aequoreus (snake pipefish)
Lineage: Eukaryota; Metazoa; Chordata; Actinopteri; Syngnathiformes; Syngnathidae
Exons: 3
Source: RefSeq, a predicted model, not a curated record